UACCAAGGGACCUAAUUCACCUCGCAAUGACUGAUGCUAAAGAACAUGUAAUCCCCUAUACAAGUUAACUGUGAAAGCCCUCCGCAUUAGAUUUGAAAUUGCGAUUAAAACUAUUUACUUAUAGUAUGAUAGAGGAUGACGUCAGACAUAACCGUAGAGGUGAAAUUCGUAGACAUUAUGGAAAACACCAGGUGCAAAUGCGGUUUUCUGCAUCUUUACUGACGCUGAGAUACGAAAGUAUGGUAAACGAACAGGAUUAAAUACCCUCGUACUACCAUACCAUAAACGAUGAUUAUUAGAUGUGUAGAAUUAUUUCUCUGUAUCAUACAUGACGCGUUAAAUACUACGCAUGGGGAGUACGAUCGCAAGGGUAAAACUCAAAUGAACGUACGUGGAAUCGCACAAGCGGUGGAGCAAGUGGUUUAAUUGUGAAGCAAGCGCGCAGACCCUUGCCACCCCGUGACAUGGUCGUCGCGAGAAUAAGAAAGUAGUUUAUUCGGUUCGGCCGGAUGAACCGCAGGUGUUGCAAGGCCGUUGUCAGGUCGUGUCGUGAGAUGUUGGGAUAAGUGACUCAUCGAGCGCAACGCCUAGUUUUAGCAGGCAUCAGGAUAUGCUGGGCUCUCUAAUAGAUCGUCCUUUGAUAUCCAGGAGGAAGGUGGGGAUGACGUCAACUCUUCAUGGUCUAUGCGGGAUGGGUUCCACUACGUCCUACAAUGGUAAGUUCAAUGAGAUUCCGAUCAGCGAAGGUUAUCCAAACUCAAAAACAUUUCUCAGUUUGGAUUGCAGUCUGCAACUCGAGUGCAUGAAGCUGGAAUCGGUAGUAAUUGUGGAUCAGCGAUCCGCGGAGAAUACGUUAUCCGGGUUU
This 865-nucleotide ribosomal RNA is filed under the name uncultured bacterium. RNAcentral describes it as "SSU rRNA". It matches the Rfam family "Bacterial small subunit ribosomal RNA", at positions 524 to 1381 of the family's 1533-position model. The record is from RNAcentral.